This 847-nucleotide long non-coding RNA is filed under the name Canis lupus dingo (dingo). RNAcentral's name for it is "lncRNA (ENSCAFG00020002553.1)". Lineage: Eukaryota; Metazoa; Chordata; Mammalia; Carnivora; Canidae. The record is from RNAcentral.
UUGGGGGCGGGGCGAGCGAGAGGCAAGACCGGAAGGGGCGGGACCGAGAGACCGCGCAGUCGGGGCUGGCCCCUGGAGGCUGGGAGGUGCUGACCGGGCCCUUCGGGACGGCGUUGUGGGAAGAAACGCCGUGGGGAAGGCGGAUCUGAGAUAUUCGAGGGACCCCAGGUUACUCUAAAGCAUCUGGAGCCGACGAGAAGGCGCUGGUUUCCGGGGGGGAAUCCGGGGAGACGAGAGCGAAGGAGGGAAUCGCAGGAACCCGGACAGCUGUGCUGUUUGACCCAGAACAGCCUGCCAAGGAAACCAGAAGGUGAAGAGCAGGGUUCCUGAUCUGACCCAAAGACCUGCAUGUGACCUGGAACAAGCAUUUUUCUAUCUUUCCUCAGUCCCAGAGGCUGGUUCCGGAAAAGACUUCAGCCUCCCAAGAACAUGUUACUGCCAAGUUUUCUGUUUUACGUGAAAUUAUCCUGAAAGCCGAGCUAGAUUCUAAGUAGUUCUUUUUGCAUAAAGCAUGGAGUAUGACCUCCUGAGGCACAUACUGGGGACUCAGAAGAUCUCUGACAUACCCAGGUGCAUCUGCAGUGGCCACUGUGAGCCAGACAGUGAGGAGAAAAUGAGGCAGAGCAGGGCAGGGAGGAGCUCUGAAUCCAGGAUUCAUUUCCCUAUCUGGUGAAGGGAGAAGAGGUGGAAGUGAAACCGCUCAACAGGGCUCACCCAACCAGAAAACAUCAGAAGGGGCAUCUCAGUGUCUGGGAAACAAGCUAGAACCAACAUAGCUGAGAAAGCCCCAACCUAUAUGGGGUUCAGGGGUAAGAGGAAGAAAAUAAAAAUGGAGACAUGAUAAUCA